GCCUUUUGGUGUGAUGUUACUUUGUAUGGGUUGAAGCCUUCUGGUGUUAUAUGGUGGUACUCUGUGUAUCGUGGCCAUCUUGACUGUGGCAUGUGCUGUGGCAUAUGCUGCAACAGAUGAGGCUAUUUGACCAUCUCUCUUAUUAGUGAGUUGGGCCUGUUCAGUCUUGAGAAGGCAAGACUGAACAAUGGUCUUUUCAAUGUAUGCAAGUAUCUGAAGCAAGGAUCCAAGGGGUUGGAGCCAGGCUCUUCUUGGCAUGCUGAGCUAUUGACUAGAGGAAAAGGGAAGAAAUUGGAACACAGAAAGUUCUACAUGAGGAUGAACCUCUUUACUGUGAGGAUGUCAGAGAACUGGAAGAGACUGCUCAGAGAGGUGGAUUCUGCUUCUUGGGAGACAUUCAAAAGGUGGCUGGACACAACCCUGACUAUUGUGCUCCAGGGGACACUACUUGACAAGUCAUCACCCUGAGAGAAGUCACCUGUGUUUGAAAUUAAUAUCCAUGCUGGUGCAAGACACUUGUCUCUGACUAUCUACUGGAUACCAUGUCGUACCACAAUGGACAGUGUCACUGUGUACCUGAAAUAGGUGUAUGUGUUGGAACAGGCUAGAGUGUGCAAAUGUGCUAUAUACCUUCAGUGUAUUGAAGAGUGGUUGAAGAUUAUGGAGGUGAAAAGAGUCAAAUGUGUUGUAGGAACCUACUGUCAUUUCAGAUGAGUCUUUCUUUGAUCUCCAUUUUCAGUUCUGGUCUUGUCUUGAAGCUUAACAGAUAAACAAGACAAAAAUCACACAAGAGAAAAAUCUAGAGAUUGAGCAGUAUCAGUGUUGUGGUUUAAAUCGAGCUGGAAAUCAAGCUCUAUGCAGCCAUUCCCCUUCCCCUACCCGAGCUGAGAUAAGGAAAAAAAUACUGGGAAGAGCAAUGUGAUAAGAAAACAGUAAGAGCAACCAUAGUAUUAACAAAUGUGUACAAAAUCAGAAUUAUUCCAUGCAAAAUGUUCCAGAGUCCAACUGACCCAGUCUGAGCUGGUGCCAUGUGGCUCCUGAGACAAAGCAGAAAAUGGCAGACAAACCCAUCUGCAUGCACAUUUUCCCACAGCCCUAAGGCCAAGAAAGAAGCCAACCAUGUUGGAGAAAUAGUUUGCACCCAUGCUUCUUCCCCAAGACUGAGACAACAAAAAUAAAAAAGAAACAGACAAACCCCACCAUUUACUCCCCUGGAAAGAAGGAAGAAAUACCGUGGUAGAGCAUCUGUGCAUCCCCUUUUUCUUCCACUUGAAGCCAGGGGCCCCUCUUCAUGGAAGUGAGAAUCCCUUAUUUGUGCUCCUGCAGUGAUGAUGUGGUUGGUAUAGAAUAAGAACCUGGACAUAUCCCCAUGGCUCCGUGCUCCUAACAUCCUUGGUCAAAACUAGGACAAUCAGCAGUCACUGGUCUGUUGAGGGGUGUUCUGAGAGACUCAAAAGUACCUAACAACCAGUCUUAAAGAGCAUGUGAUAUUGCGGAGUUACUUUCAGUUCGGUACAUGGUGAUAUGCUUCAUGCCACUGGCUAUGCCUGUAAGAUAAACAAAAGUUAAAAAAUUAUUUCAGAUCCUUCAACCAGUUUGUAUCCAGGAUGCAGAGAGCUAACUCCUUCUACAGCAUGCUGACUAUGAGUUGUCUCUUCCUUAGGAGAGCAUCUAUCCCCGUCCGAAGUUUCUGUCAUUUAGUCACCACUUUGUGAGAAGUUUUUUUCUUUUGACAGUGAAAUUCAAUGAAGAAUGUAUUGCAUGCAAGAAAAUGUUUGUUAGCUGUAACUAUUCUGCUUUAAAUUUUUAUCCCACCUAAUUGUUCAAUAGGUCUGCCAGAUACCAGCUGCAUAAUUUAAGGGAUUCUGGCAGAAUGAAGACUUCAUUUCCUGCAGGAAUGCCAUGAAUUCUAGACUAUCUGCUAGUUAGAUUUUGUUGUGAAUUUUUAAAAUGCCAUAUAAUAUUUCUAGGUACAAUUUUAUUGCCAGUCUUUAUUUUCUUCAUUCAGAUUAUUGGUUUAUUAUAUUAAUUUCUUACUUUGAGAGGUUUUUUGUAUCAUGGUCUAUUCUUUCCUUGAAAGCUGCUAAAUUAUAUUCAACAAGCAAAGUUAGAUAUAAUAAAUAAGCAAUAUUGUGUGAAAAAAGGAAAUCUAAUAGUUGGGGGGUUGUUUGUUUGUUUUCUUUUUUUUUUUUUCCUUCUUCAGUUUCUUUUUUUAAUCUUGGCCACAGCAUGAAAAAUUUAAUUUAGGAAAUUGCGCAUAAAGACAUCACAUUCUCUGAUGCACCAAAUGGUCUAAAAGGCCAGUCCUAUAAGUCUUUAGAUUUUUGCUAGUGUACAAGUCUGCCAAAUAUCCUACCUAUUUAAUAUAUUUCAAACUUUUCAGAUGUAGAAUGGUGAUAUGAGUUUGAAUCUGAAAACAUUAAUUAAUGGGGCUGCAAAAUAUAUAUAUUCUGACUUGUUUCAAAGAUCCACUCAGCCUGUGUGUCUGUCUUGGCUGUAUUAGAGAAACUGGAACUAGAUUAAUGCUGACAUAGCUGUGAUAAAUCAGUUAGCUCCAUUGCUAAGAUAAAUUGACAGUGUUGUAAAUAGCCUUUACAAAUUCUACAUACCCUCCAGACUUUAUUGAAUAAAUCAAACUUCAGUAAAAAUAUGUGUGCUUACUCUUUGAUUGCUGACUAUAAAAUUGAAUUUUUUUUAUCUGGUUCAGAGAAUGUCUUUAAAACAAAAAACUGUAUAGUUUUACUUUUUAUUUAUUUGUUUGUUUGUUUAUUUUGAGUCUUACAACUUGAAAGUAAAUUAUAUAGACUUGUCAAUACUGUGCUUUGGGCACAGUAUUGUGCAAAUAUUGCAAAGGUUGACUGUAAGCACAAGUUCUGAAAAAUGUUAUUCAAGCAACAUUAGAGGGUUGCUUAUUAGGAGAGAAUAGGAAAAAAAUUACCUAGACAGUAGGGGUUUUUUUCCCUCUAAAAGUAUUUUGUUUUUAUAUGGGAAGGGAAAUGUUUGUGGACACACAACUUAGCAAUAGGAAUAAAAAUUAUGAUUUGAAAAGUU
This is a long non-coding RNA of Passer domesticus (house sparrow), 3051 nucleotides long. RefSeq lists it as uncharacterized. The record is from RefSeq and is a predicted model, not a curated record. NCBI's taxonomy places the organism in Eukaryota, Metazoa, Chordata, Aves, Passeriformes, Passeridae. The transcript is spliced from 2 exons.